CCUACGGGAGGCUGCAGUGGGGAAUAUUGGGCAAUGGAGGCAACUCUGACCCAGCAAUGCCGCGUGAAUGAAGAAGGUCUUCGGAUUGUAAAGUUCUUUAAUCAGGGACGAAGGAGAUGACGGUACCUGAGGACUAAGCCACUGCAAACUUUGUGACAGCAGCCGCGGUAAUACAUAGGUGGCAAGCGUUGUCCUGAAUGACUGGGCGUAAAGGUAGCGUAGGCGGUCUGUUAAGUUGGAAGUGAAAUCCAGGGGCUCAACCCCGGAAAUGCUUUCAAGACUGACGGACUUGAGUGUAAGAGGGGUGAGCGGAAUUCCUAGUGUAGCGGUGGAAUGCGUAGAUAUUAGGAGGAACACCAGUGGCGAAAGCGGCUCUCUGGUCUGUAACUGACGCUGAGGUUCGAAAGCGUGGGUAGCAAACAGGAUUAGAUACCCGGGUAGUC
RNAcentral lists this ribosomal RNA (443 nucleotides) under uncultured bacterium. RNAcentral's name for it is "partial 16S ribosomal RNA". It matches the Rfam family "Bacterial small subunit ribosomal RNA", at positions 338 to 795 of the family's 1533-position model. The record is from RNAcentral.